AUACCCGACAAAACCAAGCCCGAGACCUGCUCUAUAUUGUCAUUUUCCACUUGACUUGCUCUUUGCAACAACACAACCUUGUUUCUGCAAAGACAUUCAGCAUGUUUGUCGACUCAAAAGCAC
Long non-coding RNA from Sinocyclocheilus anshuiensis, 123 nucleotides. RefSeq lists it as uncharacterized. The record is from RefSeq and is a predicted model, not a curated record. The transcript has 3 exons. NCBI's taxonomy places the organism in Eukaryota, Metazoa, Chordata, Actinopteri, Cypriniformes, Cyprinidae.